Molecule: ribosomal RNA, 468 nt
Filed under: uncultured bacterium
Lineage: Bacteria
Description: partial 16S ribosomal RNA
Rfam family: Bacterial small subunit ribosomal RNA
Source: RNAcentral
UGCCAGACUCCUACGGGAGGCAGCAGUGGGGAAUAUUGGUCAAUGGGCGGAAGCCUGAACCAGCCAAGUCGCGUGAGGGAAGAAGGCCCUGCGGGUCGCAGACCUCUUUGGACGGGGAGCAAGGCCGCCGACGUGUCGGCGGAAGGAGAGCACCCGUAGAACAAGCAUCGGCUAACUCCGUGCCAGCAGCCGCGGUAAUACGGAGGAUGCGAGCGUUAUCCGGAUUUAUUGGGUUUAAAGGGUGCGCAGGCGGAGGCACAAGUCAGGGGUAAAGUCGGGGGGCUCAACCCCGCUCCGCCGUUGAAACUGUGUCCCUUGAGUGCGCGAAGGGUAGGCGGAAUGCGUGGUGUAGCGGUGAAAUGCAUAGAUAUCACGCAGAACCCCGAUUGCGAAGGCAGCAUGCCGGCGUCCGACUGACGCUGAAGCACGAAAGCGUGGGGAUCGAACAGGAUUAGAUACCCUUGUAAA